UGACCGCUGGCGGCGUGCCUACUACAUGCAAGUCGAGCGAACAGAUGAGGAGCUUGCUCCUCUGACGUUAGCGGCGGACGGGUGAGUAACACGUGGAUAACCUACCUAUAAGACUGGGAUAACUUCGGGAAACCGGAGCUAAUACCGGAUAAUAUAUUGAACCGCAUGGUUCAAUAGUGAAAGACGGUUUUGCUGUCACUUAUAGAUGGAUCCGCGCCGCAUUAGCUAGUUGGUAAGGUAACGGCUUACCAAGGCAACGAUGCGUAGCCGACCUGAGAGGGUGAUCGGCCACACUGGAACUGAGCCACGGUCCAGACUCCUACGGGAGGCAGAAGUAGGGAAUCUUCGCAAUGGGCGAAAGCCUGACGGAGCAACGCCGCGUGAGUGAUGAAGGUCUUCGGAUCGUAAAACUCUGUUAUUAGGGAAGAACAAAUGUGUAAGUAACUAUGCACGUCUUGACGGUACCUAAUCAGAAAGCCACGGCUAACUACGUG
Molecule: ribosomal RNA, 494 nt
Filed under: uncultured bacterium
Lineage: Bacteria
Description: partial 16S ribosomal RNA
Rfam family: Bacterial small subunit ribosomal RNA
Source: RNAcentral